GUCGCCUGCAUCUAAACGAGGGAGGGGUUCUGAGGACCCCAGAGCCGCCGCCCCCCUGCCUCAAACCUGGAGACUGAGAGCCCCAGCCCCCAGCCCCGGCCCCAGCCCACCACCUCCCACACCCCUGCACCACUUCCGGACCCCCACGCCUCAGAGCAGGCGCCCCCAGGUCCACGCCCCCGUGGCAGUGGCAGGCAAGUCAGGUCUGGCCCCAGCCCGCAGAGCCACGGGCGCCCUCUGACCUGGCUGUUCCUGCGUCUGCUCACCCGUCCAGGAUGAUCUCACCCGGAGCCCGAAUGCCUCCUUCAUGCUGCAGUUCUGCAGUAUCGAAUGCAAGCUCCUCAAAGCCUGAGAGCCGCCUGUGCACUCACGUUCUCUGCGCCCCCACUCUGACCUCCUGUGAGGACACCCACGUGCUCCAAGGCCGUUGUCACAUGUCCACUCCGUGUCCUGGGGCUCCGUCUCCACACGCCCAGCACCAGGCAGAACGUGGGGACUACGCACAGGUCGUCAGCACAGAUGCGGACACGUGGACGGGUCCGGCCAGAGGGCGGACAGCCGCGAGGCCACACGGGGGCCUGAAGCCCUGAUGCCCGCCGCGACCAGGAUAGACCUCGAGAGCGUGCGGAGGGAGAGAAGCCAGGCACAGAGCCCGCGCGUGGUGGGAUUCCACGCGUGUGAAACAUUCAGAGACACACGCGGGCCGGCGGUCCUGGGGGGCUGGGGGUGGGGCGUGCGUGCUUUGUGAGCACAACUUCCUUUGGGGGGAAGCCCGUGUUCUGGAACCCCCCAGCACUGCAGGCAUACCGAAUGCCGCUGAGCUCUUCACCUGAAACCGGUUACAG
Molecule: long non-coding RNA, 845 nt
Filed under: Ursus maritimus (polar bear)
Lineage: Eukaryota; Metazoa; Chordata; Mammalia; Carnivora; Ursidae
Description: lncRNA (ENSUMAG00000021300.1)
Source: RNAcentral